UGAGGAUUUAUUCAGCAAAUAUUUAUUUUGCCCCUGCAAGCCAGCUUAUUCUUAAAUGGAUGCUUUAAAGUAUCACGAAUAACAUAAUAGCAACAACAAAUAUGUGAGACAAUCAAGGCGAAGGGAAGCGAGGUCUUUGCAACAACUGAGAUGAACUGAAUCAGAGGAGCAGUAACCCAAAAGGUACAAAGGAUACAGAGAAAGAUAAAAAUUUAAAAGCCUCAAAAUAUUUUCAG
This 236-nucleotide long non-coding RNA is filed under the name Castor canadensis (American beaver). RNAcentral describes it as "lncRNA (ENSCCNG00000004017.1)". Lineage: Eukaryota; Metazoa; Chordata; Mammalia; Rodentia; Castoridae. The record is from RNAcentral.